CCGGCGACCGGCGCACGGGUGAGUAACACGUAUGAAACCUGCCCGUAGCAGGGGAUAAGCGGAAGAAAUUCCGUCUAAUACCGCGUAACAACCCAUGGAGGCAUCUCUGUGGGUUUAAAGGAAGCGAUUCCGGCUACGGAUGGUCAUGCGUCGCAUUAGCUUGUUGGCGGGGUAACGGCCCACCAAGGCGACGAUGCGUAGGGGUUCUGAGAGGAAGGCCCCCCACACUGGUACUGAGACACGGACCAGACUCCUACGGAAGGCAGCAG
This 269-nucleotide ribosomal RNA is filed under the name uncultured bacterium. RNAcentral describes it as "partial 16S ribosomal RNA". It matches the Rfam family "Bacterial small subunit ribosomal RNA", at positions 88 to 354 of the family's 1533-position model. The record is from RNAcentral.